This 274-nucleotide ribosomal RNA is filed under the name uncultured bacterium. Its description in RNAcentral is "partial 16S ribosomal RNA". It matches the Rfam family "Bacterial small subunit ribosomal RNA", at positions 523 to 796 of the family's 1533-position model. The record is from RNAcentral.
AGACGAACCGUCCAAACGUUAUUCGGAAUUACUGGGCGUAAAGGGUGCGUAGACGGCGCAUUAAGUCUGUUGUUAAAUUUUUCGGCCUAACCGAAAAGCUGCGACGGAAACUGAUGUGCUAGAGAAUGAGAGAGAGAAGUGGAAUUCCCGGAGUAGCGGUAAAAUGCGUGGAUCUCGGGAGGAACACCAAUGGCGAAGGCAGCUUCUUGGCUCAUUUCUGAUGUUGAGGCACGAAAGCGUGGGGAGCAAACAGGAUUAGAUACCCCGGUAGUCC